This 125-nucleotide small RNA is filed under the name Marmota monax (woodchuck). The record is from RNAcentral. Lineage: Eukaryota; Metazoa; Chordata; Mammalia; Rodentia; Sciuridae.
CCCAGAUGUGGUGGCGCAUGCCUGUAAUCCCAAUGGCUCAGGAGGCUGAGUCAGGAGGAUCACAAGGGCAAAGCCAUCCUCAGCAAAAGUGAGGUGCUAAGCAACUCAGUGAGACCCUGUCUCUA